AGCUCUGUGGAUUCAGCACAUGUCCUUCGCAAAACCACGAGUUAGCGGAUCAUGGUGGCCCCUUUGUUUGAGGUUUGUCAUCCCGUUUUUGAAACCUUUUUGAUUUGGCAGCAAAGCUCACCAUUCCUUCUGACACUGCUCUGUGAACACUGCCGCACACUAUUUCUGUCUAUGGUAGCCUAGGGACUGUCUGGAAAAGGUAAGGUUUGCAUUCACUGGCGGAGAGUGUGAGAGGGUUUCUUUUGGCAAACCACUCCGUGUUUGCCUUGCCCCUGAAUUUUAUGUAAUUUGUCCUGGUGAAGGUCUUUCUGAUAGAUAAUUAUUCAACUCCUGAGCUGUUGAGUUUAUCUAAAUGCUCCAAAAAUAUGAUUUUCUUUCCCUCUCAUUAUUACAUUGUCUGAUAUAUGAUUUCCGUGUCACUAAUUCAUUUCUUAACCCUCGUUUUUUUCACAUCAUCUGCACAUCAUCCCUAGAUUAUAAAUGUAACACAACCUCUUUACUAGUGUUACGCUAGCCUUGAUACAUUUUUGUGCUUGAAUUUAAAUCCCACAACAUUAGAUGCUUGGAUGGUCCAAUAUGCCUCUCUGGAUCCUUCCAAUACAGGACUCUAUCGUGAUGGGUCUUCCUUACCCUUUGCUUAUGAACAUGGUUUCUGUUUAUCUUUACCUCUCAUUUGACCCUUCCCUUUCUCCCUGCCCCCCCUUCUGGGUUGUAUCUUUCGCCACUUCCACAGGUAAGGCUCAUUUCCUGGACUCGGCUUCAAGAAAACUCCAGAACGGUAGCCUGCGGCGCCGGCCACAGAAGCAACAGCCAAAGGACGCCUCGGGACAACUUCCUGCCCAGGCCGUGGACUUCCUCCAGUGCCCAGACAGCCUUUCUUGUUGUGACUCCAAUCGUCACCCACGCUCCCCCAGCUCCAUGAAUGGCCUCCUCAGAACCUUCAAGGUGAGUCUCGCUGAGGGGAUACCACACCCUGCCGGCAUGGUAUCGGAUCAACAGCAGGGCGUGGGUCUCCCGGAUGCCAUGUGCUUCCAGGCCAGCCAGCAGGGCCUCUCCAUAGCCCAGGGCGGGCCUCCGAGCACAGACGCGAACCCCACCAGCCAACGGGUGCGAGCCGGGUCGCGCGGGGAGGCCGUGUCGAGUGUCAUCGUCCGCAAUUGUGCGUUUUCGGCACCCCAAGCGGCCCCGCAGCUGGACCUCUCCCAGUCAGUCAUUCACGGGUCGCCCCGUGCCUAUCCCGACGAGGCCUCUCAACAACCGGCCGGGCCGCGACGGACCCCCGCGAAACUCAAGCACUCUAACGGCCUGCCCUCCGCCCCGGAGGCGCUGCUUCAGUUCGGCCGCGGCCCGCAAUGGAGCUCCGGUGCCAACGGCGGUCCGCCGUACGGGCUCAGCCAGGCCGAGAGGAGUCUGUCGCAGGCUCGGGCGCAGGACGGGAGCGGCUUCUACACAGAGUUUAUGGCCAGACACGCCUUCCCCACGCCGCAGGAGCAGAGCCCCGCUCAGCUGAACGGUAACCACCCCAGGAACGGCCACCUCGGCCCAGCGAGGAGCGGAGCCCACGCGUCAGGCGGGGUCAUCCAGUCCCCCGAGCACUGCCCUGCUGCCGAUGGCCGGCAAGCGUAUUUUCCCAAGCGGUCCAACGGAUAUUUAAACGGUCAGCUCAACGGGAACUACGGUGGCGGCGGCGGCGGCGCGCGUGAUGCAGGCAGCCUCAACGGGUCCUUUGUGCUGAAUAUUGCAGAAGGCCAGAUGAGUGAAGAGCGGCUCAUGGGACCCGUCAGCCUGCAUCACCCUGGGCGACCGUUGGCCCACAGACAACCGGCACAACCCGGAGGAGAUCUGCUGUGGGCCGGGGCCCCGAGCUUUCAUCCCUGGCCCGGCAAGAUGAAAAUGGAGGGGCCGUCUUAUCUCUGCAGUGUUGGUGAAAUGAUGCAAAGCAAGAUGGAGCCUGUGAGAUUUCACCAGACCUUGAAGGAUGACCUGAACACAUUGCACAAAGCUAAUGGUAUUCACCUGAGUGCUGGGGCAGUAGACGAUCACAUGGAGGAUGCUUUGCACAAUGCAAUGGGCCAGUGGCACAAAUUUACAGCUAAUGUAGGCCUAGAUGGUGUACGGAAAGCCCCCAAAGCCAAAAAGAGGAAGAUCUUUAGAUGACAGGAACCUAUCGAUGGAUUUUAUUUAUUUAUUUAUUUAUUUUUGAUUCUCUUCAAAUGGAUGGAAAGCUCCCCAAUUGUAUUUUGUAUUUAAUAUGAGAAAAAUGUCUGACUUCUGUGAAGCCACGACAGUUUGUGGAAGUUUACAUAUUUGGCACUAUCCGGGGGAGAAAACAACAUAAUUGUGUGAACUUAGUUGUUCUUGUGAGAAUCAUCAAAUUUGAACUACUGAAUACCUAGUUUCUUAGAUCAUGAAGAUGGUAUUCAUAUCAAAUGGUUAGAGGGGCUGUAGGUAAGAUUUGGUUUCCAUUACUUUGUCAUUGUACACACAAAUGCCAGAUCAAUACAUGUUAUAUAGCAAGAAUAACAUGCCUCUAAAGCUUUGAAAUAUUAAAUGAUAUUCAAAAAACAUGUGUUGCUUUGUUUACUAAAUUGCCACAUCCCUAUAGCUUGCAUUAAAAUGUGUUCCUAAAGCGGUUCAAACUAUCCUUUAGUUGACUAAGAUAAAUCUAGGUUAUGAAGUUCUCAAGGUUUCCUCCAUCACAUCAAUCUAGUGAAAUUUGAUUGAGUAAAUGUGUUAAAAGCAACAUUAGAUCACCUUUGUUAAAGCACAGAUUUAGUCAACCGUGCUAUUCCUUCAGUAUUUACAUUCUGCCUAAAAUCUAAACCAACCAGUUGGACUGUUUCUCAAUUAACCUGAAUGUCCUCAAAAACAGACUAUUAUAUUGCUGCACAGAUUAUUUUUGAACAGGUUAUCACGCAAUUUCAAACACUGAAUGGUGUCCCAAUUUCUCCACUGCAAAGUUAUUAUUAACUUUUCAUAAACUUCCCAUUAUCCAUGUUCCUCGUGUGCUGCUUUAAUUCCUUAUUCAUAAACUAUAUUAAUGUGUAUGCGUUCUACUAAACUAUAAAAAGUAAAGACAAAACCAAAGUAGAAUUGUGAAGCGUGAACCAUUUUCUAACAGCUGGUACAUGAUUGUCUGCACCUUGUAGCAUUGUACUAACUUUAAUAGGUGUCAUAUGAAUCAUACGAUGCAUUUUUUGUCAAAGACCAUGCCUCAUAUUACUAAGGGUUUGUUUUCGGUCUCCAAAUUCAGUUUUUGCCAAUAUCCCAUCCACUAGCAUAACAACUUUCUGCAUAUGUUCAUAUGUCCUCUUGCAUAAAAUGUUUGUCGAUUUUCUAAACCCUAUGCAGAGGUUCGUUCUGGUGUUUAUCAAUAUAUUUGGGAAACACUGAUUUCCAAAGCUGUAUUAUCUAUAAAGAGUGGUUACAUAUCAAAUCCCUGUAAAUUAGAUUUUCUUUUAUCAGCCAUACAGCCUGGGACUUGGCCCUAACACUAUUAUUGCUGUGCGAUCUCAAAUCAUAUACUGUUCUUGUGAUUCUUUAUUAAACUAAUUUCAGGAUGUCCUUUUAUUGUAAUAUUUACAGUAUUCAGAAAGCUGUAAUCAUAUAAUUAUACCAUACCCUUAAUUAUGUAUUUCAAUUCCCCCCCCCCACACACACUUGCAUAUAUCAGAGCUGGAUGGUCAUUGACAGAGAAGCAUUUUAAUAUCACGUAAGAAAAUCCUCAUCUUGUAACCAACCACAUGAAGAUAAUUCUAGAUAUCUAAUUAACCUGGCUUAUAGCCAAUGUAUCCUAAUGGAAAAAAAGGUAAUACUUGAAGAUCAUGAAUAUAUUGAAAUACUUGAAUAUGACGAUACGAUAAUUGAAGUGCAUGUAAAUGAUCUCACUGAUUUAAUGAGUUUUACUGUAAAUAUUCUAAGUGAUUGUAUGCAUAUUACAAUUUUAGUUUUGUCUUAUUUUGAAAUGAAUGUUAUACUAAUUAAGGAAAGGAAAGGAAAUCUACCCCAUGUCGAAGAUGGUGCUCUAUAUUUAAAAUGUAAAUUGUAUAUAAUGUAAUGUAAUGUUAUUUGUAAAUGCCCAUAAUGUUCUACCCAUUUAUGAAAUGUUCUUAAUCAAAUCCUAUGGCAUUUCACCAUCUUAUACAAUUUUAAAUAAUGUUCGACUGCAACAGGAAAUGUCUAUUAAACCUAUAUUUUGUUACAUAAAUCUUCCAGUUACAUUUAUUCCAAAGUUUUUAUGAAGAAAGAAAAUAUUGUCUUUACUUUAUAUUAAAUGGUUGUAUCAACUGAAUCUUUUGUCACAAGUAAAUCACAAAAAUAAUGAUUGAGUAAUUGUAAAUCCCGAAAUCGGAUGGAAUAACAGCACAGUAAAAUAUCCAAGCCUGUAGUUGGGUAUCCUACCCCCUUAGAGUAAACACAUGCUGCCUCAUGCAAACUGAAACUGCUCAUGUUUUUC
Molecule: long non-coding RNA, 4456 nt
Organism: Gadus morhua (Atlantic cod)
Lineage: Eukaryota; Metazoa; Chordata; Actinopteri; Gadiformes; Gadidae
Source: Ensembl